CCUACGGGUGGCAGCAGUGGGGAAUAUUGCACAAUGGGGGAAACCCUGAUGCAGCGACGCCGCGUGAGGGAUGAAGUAUUUCGGUAUGUAAACUUCUAUCAGCAGGGAAGCAAAUGACGGUACCUGACUAAUAACCAUCGGCUAACUACGUGCCAGCAGCCGCGGUAAUACGUAGGGGGCAAGCGUUAUCCGGAUUUACUGGGUGUAAAGGGAGCGUAGGCGGCAUGGUAAGUCUGAUGUGAAAACCUGGGGAUUAACCCCGGGACUGCAGUGGAAACUGUCAGGCUAGAGUGACGGAGAGGCAAGUGGAAUGCCUGGUGUAGCGGUGAAAUGCUUAGAGAUCAGGCAGAACACCGAUUGCGAAGGCAGCUUACCG
Molecule: ribosomal RNA, 376 nt
Filed under: uncultured bacterium
Lineage: Bacteria
Description: partial 16S ribosomal RNA
Rfam family: Bacterial small subunit ribosomal RNA
Source: RNAcentral